AGGACGAACGCUGGCGGCGUGCUUAACACAUGCAAGUCGAGCGGAAAGGCCCUUCGGGGUACUCGAGCGGCGAACGGGUGAGUAACACGUGAGUAAUCUGCCCCUAGCUCUGGGAUAGCUCCGGGAAACCGGGAUUAAUACCGGAUAUGACCACUUUAGACAUCUGCUGUGGUGGAAAGAAUUUCGGCUAGGGAUGAGCUCGCGGCCUAUCAGCUUGUUGGUGGGGUAACGCCUACCAAGGCGACGACGGGUAGCCGGCCUGAGAGGGCGACCGGCCAACGACUGGGACUGAGACACGGCCCAGACUCCUACGGGAGGCAGCAGUGGGGAAUAUUGCGCAAUGGGCGAAAGCCUGACGCAGCGACGCCGCGUGGGGGAUGAAGGCCUUCGGUUGUAAACCCCUUUCAGCAGGGACGAAGCGAAAGUGACGGUACCUGCAGAAGAAGCGCCGGCUAACUACGUGCCAGCAGCCGC
Molecule: ribosomal RNA, 474 nt
Filed under: uncultured bacterium
Lineage: Bacteria
Description: SSU rRNA
Rfam family: Bacterial small subunit ribosomal RNA
Source: RNAcentral